AACGAACGCUGGCGGCAUGCCUAACACAUGCAAGUCGAACGAGACCUUCGGGCCUAGUGGCGCUGGGCUGCGUAACGCCUGGUAACCUGCACUUGGGUUCGGAAUAACUCCCCGAAAGUGCAGCUAAUACCGGUUAAUGUCAUAGCACCUAAGAUUUAUUGCCUUUGGAUGGGGGCGCGUUGGUUUAGGCAGUUGGUAGGGUACAAGCCUACCAAGGCCACGAUGCAUAGCUGGUCUGAUAGGAUGAUCAGCCACGAUUGAACUGAGACACGGCCCAGACUGCUACGGGGCGCAGCAGUGGGGAAUAUUGGGGAAUGGGCGAAGGCCUGAUCCAGCAGUGCCGCGUGAGAGAUGAAGGCGUUAGGGUUGUAAAGCUGUUUGACACGGGAUGAUAAUGACAGUACCGGGAGAAUAAGCUCCGGCUAACUCCGUG
This 433-nucleotide ribosomal RNA is filed under the name uncultured bacterium. RNAcentral's name for it is "partial 16S ribosomal RNA". It matches the Rfam family "Bacterial small subunit ribosomal RNA", at positions 29 to 507 of the family's 1533-position model. The record is from RNAcentral.